Molecule: long non-coding RNA, 675 nt
Organism: Sorghum bicolor (sorghum)
Lineage: Eukaryota; Viridiplantae; Streptophyta; Magnoliopsida; Poales; Poaceae
Exons: 2
Source: RefSeq, a predicted model, not a curated record
UACUUUAUGUAUAUGUCUAGACAUGAUUCGAUGUAAGUAAACAAGGACUCUAACAUGGUCUGCCUCGACCUCUCCUCGCACUCCCGUGACCCUUUCACCACCACCUGCAUGUCCACCUCAAGAACGGGAGGUCUCUCUCUCUCCUGCAGCAUCUGCAGCAGCCCCGUGGACGGGGACGGAUCAGACCGAAUUGUCUGAUCCUCCACAAGCACACUCGUGAGAGUCGUCGGCGGAUUUUUUCUGAUCCGACACAAUCUUGAACCUGAAACUCGGCAGCCUAAUUUUUUUCUGAUCCACCUCCGUCGUCUCCUGCAGACGACGACCCGUGGGAUCCAACUCCGGCAGUCUCGCCAUCUCUUCCUUCUCCGAGCGGUGAAUGGCGCGUGGGAUCCUCCUCCAUCGCCCGGGCGUCCUCCGCCUCGCGGACGGGCCGCUGCCUGAUUCCCCCGACGGCGGCCUGGGGGUCUGCCAAUACACGGGGAUGGAGGCCCAGGCAGCAUGAAGAGGAGAGAUUUCAAUCGCAAGUGCUUGGUUCUGCUCCCAAGAGAACAGUUUCAAACUUGUACAAGUCUCAAGGUCUUUGUCAAAAGGUGUCUUUUCUUCUCAAAAGAAAAGAAAACGUCCCGUCCAAUUAUAUGGGACUAAAACAAAACAAAACAAAACAAAACAAAAAAA